RNAcentral lists this ribosomal RNA (253 nucleotides) under uncultured bacterium. RNAcentral's name for it is "partial 16S ribosomal RNA". It matches the Rfam family "Bacterial small subunit ribosomal RNA", at positions 524 to 776 of the family's 1533-position model. The record is from RNAcentral.
UACGAGGGGAGCAAGCGUUGUUCGGAUUUACUGGGCGUAAAGGGCGCGUAGGCGGCGUGACUAGUCACUUGUGAAAUCUCCGGGCUUAACUCGGAACGGUCAAGUGAUACUGUCGUGCUAGAGUACAGAAGGGGCAACUGGAAUUCUCGGUGUAGCGGUGAAAUGCGUAGAUAUCGAGAGGAACACCUGCGGCGAAGGCGGGUUGCUGGGCUGAUACUGACGCUGAGGCGCGAAAGCCAGGGGAGCGAACGGG